Gadus chalcogrammus (walleye pollock) is the source of this 5489-nucleotide long non-coding RNA. RefSeq lists it as uncharacterized. The record is from RefSeq and is a predicted model, not a curated record. The transcript has 9 exons. Lineage: Eukaryota; Metazoa; Chordata; Actinopteri; Gadiformes; Gadidae.
UAUAUAUUGUGGCAUCCCGCCACUCAAACCUCGACCCGGACCAGCCCGAGGGUUGGUCCUGGAUGGCCGAUACCACCGUCACCCACCAGCCGGCGACGGAGAGCACCGACCGAACCCCAAUCAGCGAGAUUGGGGGACACCUGGCCGAAAGCCGAGGAGCCAUUUUUAAUGGAGCACGAGGACUGACAUUUGGGCAGACCAGGAACGGGAGCGAGGGAGGAGGAAGUGCUCGGGUCCGUGAGCAGCUAGAGGCCCACGGAGGCCCUAGAGACCGUCUAUCAUGGAUAUUUAACUGCAGUUCUGUGAGUAUCCCAACUUAACCAUGAAGAUGAACUGCAAACUGUAAGUCAUUAUUUUCUCAUUACUUUGGGCACAUUGAUGUAUUUUGGCUUCCUGGUGAGUUAACCUGUUAACCUGAAGGUUGAUCUGAGUAAUAAGGAUGUUUUAUUGGUUCAUGGGUUACUUAGGUGUUUGGUUUAUGUUGGUUUUAAUGAUUUGUUAAAAUGUUUCAGGCUCCAAGUUAUUGUUGUAAGAUGGAGUAAUGGGUUGGGUUCUGAUGUCUUCAGUCUUCUUUCAUUCUACUCUCCUGAGCUCUGCAUCUUCAACACAUGAGUGUUGCUUUACUGACGAGGCUGUGGUCUGAGUGAGCAGAGGUGCAUACUGGGAUACAGAGCUGUCUGAAGUCUACAGGUCUGUAGACACGCCCCCUCAGGGGAAACCGAGUGUUUGAGAAACUGUUGUGACGUCAGUUACAUGGACUGGAAUGUUCUUUAAGAUGGAGACAGGGAUUCAGAAGGAGAAACACCAGGGGGAGAUGAGGGGGCUCCUCAUCUCAACGACUAAAACACAACUUCAGUCUGACACGGAGAACCACGGAACACAUUCAACAGUCCCCUCAGGCAUCGUGACUCCUCAGGAACAGUUUCAUUUCCAAGAAGGUCUUAAUUGGGGCCAUCCCCAUAUGGAUCCUGCUCCUCAAGAGCCACCCCCGUCCACUGGGUGGUCUUCUGAACAGAUGACCUCCUUCCUGCCCUCAGGCUGACUAAAGCUGCACCGUUUGCAUCUGUGAAGGCCCCUCAUUCAGGAAACCACUGGACUACAAAGACAUGACUUCAGAGACGUUGAAUCAACCUGGGACACAUUUUGGAGACGCCAAGCAUAAUCCAUCACCAAUGUGGGACGCCACUGAAGAAAGUUGUACAUAAUUUACGUCUCUGGAGCAUUGGUUGUUCUGUUAUGGGUGCCCUGGCAGGAGAGCUGGGGGGGAGAUGGAAUGUUAUUUGGCAUGAGGUUUUUACCCUGCAUGAUUGUUUGGCCUUUUAUGGCUCAGUGGUGUGUGUGUGUUUGGGUUUGACAUGAGAUGGAAGAUUUUUGAGAAUCGCGAGGGUUCUACUGUGUGUGUGUGUGUGUGUGUGUGGGUCUCCCACUCACACCUGGCAUGGGGUUCACAGUGCCUGUCCUGGGUUCUAUGUUUGUGUGUCCGGCUUGCUUUGACAGUGAUAAUGUUCAUACGGGGGUCUUUGUGAUUGGUGUGGGAUAUUGGAAUGGUCAACUAAAUCAUACCUGAUGGACGGCCACACGUUUACUUAAAGGCCUCCAGUAGACAUGAAGAGCCCUGAGCGACGCUCCGGAGCGAGAUCCAACACACUGGGCAGGAAGGAGGGUAUCCAACUCAAGUGUAAAAGGAUGCAAGCGGCGUGUUCAGAUCAGUGACUUCAAACUAGGACUACACCAAUCAGGAUCAAUGGAGGAUGGACACCUAAAGGAAUUCCACAAGGAGAGUCUGACGUUGGAAAUGGACCUAAAUGGAUAUUCAAGAUGACCUUCAGACCUGUAAUGAGACGUCUCUUCCUUCCUGGCUGGAUUGAAGGAGAGCCCUGUGGAUCUUGUCUUGCUCUCAGUUGCACGUCUUCUCAGGCUGAACUGUAUUUGUUUCGGACAGGACUAGCUGAACGAUUGGUUCCCUUAAAUCAGAACCAAUCCGGGAACUCCAGCUAGUGCGCUCUUCGAGCUGAAGUUGUGCUCUUCAGCUGAGGAGGUAAGGAAACCUUCACUGGGGCUUCAAGGUGUAAAGAGGGGAAUGUUUCAAGUGUUCCAUGGCACUCUGAUGAAGACCGUUGUUGUGUUCCACUGGCUGAGAGGAAGAACCCACACAUCUUCCUCUUGGCCUUUCUCCUCUGAGAAUCCUGGCGCCAUCUUGAAGGAUAUUCCAGUUCAUGUAACUGAUGUCACGACAGAUUCUCAAACACUUGGUUUCUCCUGAGGGGCGUGUCCAUAGAACUGAAGACUUCAGACAGCACUGUAUCCCAGCAUGCAUCUCUGCUCACUCAGACCACACCCCCAUGAGUAGGAUGCAACGCUCUAGUGAUGGAGAUGUAGAGUUUUAUAAGUAACGAGGGAGCAGACUAAGGUGAUUAGAACACAAUGGCAUGUCAAGUCUGUAAAUAUUUAAACCAUGAAGAUAGUCACUGGACCUGUACAUGUGUUGGCUGGCAUGAUUUGCUGUUGGUCAUGAGGCAGUCAGGGUGACGUUGCAGGGCUAUGGUCGGCUCUCUGUGAGCUCAACGUUUAGAUUUGCUCUGAAUAGUUUGUACCCUGAAUUUAGAUAAUUGUAAAAUGUAGACAAGGUUUUGUAUUGAAAGAUUUUAGGUUUAAAGUUGUUGUGGGACGUACAUGGUAGUUUUGUUCUUCGUAUGGUUUUGUGUGGUAUAACUUGUACACACUGGGUGCAUAAUAAUAUAAAGGUACACUGAAUAGUAGUAAUUACCAACAGCAACAAACAGAUCUCCUCAAGGUAAGUCUGUUGGCUGUGUUUUAAUGUAGACCAUCGCUGGACUUCAGGAUCUUCCUCCGUUCAGCUCAAGGUGAGGCGCUGGUUCUGUUUUUUCUUUGGUUGGUUCCGGCCGGAAUGUUCGUAUUCCAGUCGGACGGUUUGUGCUUCCCGCCGUGGAGGUUUUUGAGUGCGGUCACUUUAUUUAGACCCAAUGGUUAGCAUAGAACGUUGUAGUCUUGACAACCAUAAGAAACCACCAGGCAGUUAGUUGGACGGGAGUCCCCUGAGGGAAUCUGGCGGAACGUUCUGGAUUGUAUUUGCGUAACCUCGAGCCGUUGCCAACGGAAACUAUUUUUCAGUCGGUUUACAUUUGGAAUUGUUGCCCCUAUCUUAAACAAAUUAAGUUUGAUAUUAAUUACAUACUGACACGUACGUCGUACAAUGCGUUAAUUUUCGAUGGUUGCGACGUACUUUUAACCACGAUGACGUUGCGGGACUCUUACUGCGUACAAAACGGCGUUCUACUUGCGGGCCCAUUUUUGACGGGCUGAAGGCUGAAAAUCAUUUCAAGGUGGAAGAUAAUUUGACAUUUCUUCAACGGAACCCAGCACCUGAAUAUGGCUGAGUAUAUUUGAUUUAAUAUUGAUACUGCUUAGUGUUCUUCGUUACUUCAGCUUUUGUACGUUCUUAAUAUCUGCUGUCAUUAAUUGCCACAGAAGUUAAACCCUACCCAAUUUAAUGACGUUAAACAAUGACUUUGGUGCAGAGUUACUAACUGGUUAAUAUCAAAGCUAAAAUAAUGGCCGUCAUUCCCACAUGUUACAGUAGAAGAUACUCUAGAACUGUACGAGGUUAAAAAGGUAACAUGUAGUUUGUCCCAAGGUGUCUGCCUCCUCCCCCAGAGCAAGAUCUCCACCUCCUCACCCAGAGCCAGACCUCCACCUCCUCACCCAGAGCCAGACCUCCACCUCCUCACCCAGAGCCAGACCUCCACCUCCUCACCCAGAGCCAGACCUCCACCUCCUCACCCAGAGCCAGACCUCCACCUCCUGUCAGAAGUCCUCCAGAACAGCUGAAAGGCGAGUCUGAGAGGCUGGGGACCGGAGGCUUGUGGUGCUAGGAUGGACCUGAGGCUGGAGACCAGGGGCCUGCAGCACCGGACCAGACGACCAGGAAUCCAUGUCUGAAGGAGCUGAUGGAGGAGCCGUGCUGAUGGAGGAGUCGUGCUGAAGGCCCUGCCUUGUGGAGGACCUGCCUGGUGAAGGACGUCUGUCGUGGGACCAGGACUCUGUCUGAGGAGAGCUGCUGGAGGAGCUGAGACGCUGGAGGACGACUAGGAAUCGACCAACAAGGAUUCCUCAACGUGUUUCUGGAGCGGAGGCGAGCUGAUAGGGGAGCCGUGAAUCUGGAGGAUGACCAUCACUCUACCAACAAGGAUUGGAAACCAGGACUCUGGCUGAGGAGAGCUGAUGGAGGAGCCAAGACUCUGGAGGACGACAUCACUCCACCAACCAGGAUCCUCACCAGGAAUCUGGAGGACUGAUGGAGAAGCCGUACAUCUGGAAGGCAAAUCCUGAGGACCACCAGGACUCUACCAUCAAGGAUUCCUCAUAAGUUUGCAUCAUCUGGACAUAGUGGACUAGACACACCUGAGCUGAACCUCACCUGAUCCUGUUUGUCGGGGGCAGACACACCUGAGCUGAACCCCAACAGAUCCUGAUAUCCUGCUGGUCCCGUCUCCUCAGUUCAUCUGAGCCUCGUCGUCCAGAAGACCUGCUGAGCUCAGCAGUCUGAGGCUGAUGGAUCAAUGACCUCCAGUGGGAGUGAUCUUCUUGACCACACAUGUAACCGUGUGCUUCCACACGCCUUUCCCUCACGUCUGUCACUAACCUCACUACUUCACUACUCUCUACUGCUUCCUCUUUUUCUUUCUCUGUGGUUCGAACCUUUACACGGAAGGCGCGUCUUCCUGCCCUCAGAGGGUUCAGCGUUAGGGUUGAGAGUCAGGGUUUAGAGUCAGGGACAGAGCUGGUCAGGGAGGACUGCUUUUACGCAAACCACUUCACUUGCUUUCGGAAUGAUGGUGACAUUUUGAAAAGAUUCAUUUGGGAAAAUGUUUUCCUCUGCUUUCCUUUACAAAAUUGUAUUAAACAUCUGUCAAGUGUUUUGGUUUAUAUAUUAAAAUCCCACAUUGACUUCUACAUGUUUGGUGCGGUUCAUUUAAUUGUCCUUUAACUUGGUUAAUGUCAAGCUAAACUCCUAAACUACUGUUCUCUCUUGUUUCAAGCACACGGUUGACCAGCCGUUGCUUAAGAAACAUAACCUGGAUGUUAACUGCCCAAAUAACUACCGUCCCAUAUCUAAACUACCAUUAGACAAAAAAAUAUAUGUUUGGCUUUUUAAGCCCAAAUGCCAUCAUUAUGUGCAAUAAAACUAAAAACAGACUGAAAACAGUCAAGUAAGAGCUUGUGCCUUUUGGAAUACUAACAGUGCUCAUUUGCAUUCAACUUGUAACAAAAUUCAAGUGACAUAAACAAAAUGAAGUAUUGAUUAGACAGUGAUUUAUUAGAUGGGCCUACCUAAUAAACCGUUGGAACGCACAAGACCGGAAACCAUAGCAACGCCGGUAAACAAACCCUGAGAAGCCCAAUCCCUAUGAGAGCUCCCCGCGCUACGGCCAUCCGGAGGUGCACAGAGCUGUUGGCCGUGAUAUACU